UACAGAGACUGCAAGCGUUAUUCGGAUUCACUGGGCGUAAAGGGUGCGCAGGCGGCCAAGUGUGUUAGGCGUGAAAGCCCGGGGCUUAACCUCGGAAUUGCACCUAAAACUACUUGGCUAGAGCAUUGGAGAGGGUAGCGGAAUUCACGGUGUAGCAGUGAAAUGCGUAGAUAUCGGGAGGAACACCAGAGGCGAAGGCGGGUCUCUGGACAGUUCCUGACACUGAGGCACGAAGGUCAGGGGAGCAAACGGG
This 253-nucleotide ribosomal RNA is filed under the name uncultured bacterium. RNAcentral describes it as "partial 16S ribosomal RNA". It matches the Rfam family "Bacterial small subunit ribosomal RNA", at positions 524 to 776 of the family's 1533-position model. The record is from RNAcentral.